Molecule: long non-coding RNA, 2597 nt
Organism: Epinephelus fuscoguttatus (brown-marbled grouper)
Lineage: Eukaryota; Metazoa; Chordata; Actinopteri; Perciformes; Serranidae
Exons: 4
Source: RefSeq, a predicted model, not a curated record
GUGGAGCUGCACAGGACAGCUCUGGUUUAAAAAAGUUUGGUGAAGACAGGCACUGACAGAGGCAGAGAAAGCGCGCAAGUCGCUUGCUGUGCGUCCAGGAUGACUUUUAUUCCGCAGUGCAAAAGUUUGAGAGUGAAAGAAAACCUGUCAAGUCAAAUAUUGGUGCAGACGCGCGCCUCGCAAAUGUUUGCAGAGUUUAAAAAGAAACAGAAAAGACGUGCAAAGCUUGCUCCAGACCGCCAGUGAUGUGGGCCCUUCUUAGUUUGCAGUGAGACAUUCUGAUGAAGAGGAGGAUGAAGACUGACAAACUGAGCUCAGGCACAGGAUUGAGAAACUGUCUCACCACAGGACUAUCUGGCUGGUUUCCACCACAUUCACCCAUCCUGACAACCGGUGGGGAAACCACCUCAGCAAAGCUCAUCCGUUGAAAUGUUGCUGAGUCAGUUUGGGGUCAUGACAUCAUCAUCAUGAGAUGGGGCGGCGGGUGAGUGGCGACCACAGGCAGCGACAGAAGAGGUGGUGCUGUGUGUCGUGGUUUGCAGCUGCUGGUUCUUGGCAAAAAAACAUGGUGCUGCGGAGUCGCCUCAGGGAAUAAUUUGCCCGAAUGUUGAAAGGGAGAACAAAUUCAAGAGGUUUGAAGGGGGUGGUAAGAUUUUUAUCGUCACGUUGCACCAGAUGACCGUAAAACACCUGCAGGACGUUGACAGUGUUGUUAACUGUCCAGGUGCUGAGGUUUUUUUGGCUUUCCAAACUCUUUCCGGCUUGUGGGCCGUUUUGGAGCAAAAUCUCCACACCCAGUAAAGUCAUGCAGAUGCUGUUGGAACCGCAGCUGGUGGUCAACACAGCAAGUAAAAGAUUACUCACAUUCUGCAGUGACAUAAAUUUUUGUAUGAGGACAAAGGAGUAGAAGCACUGCUGGGUCUUAGUAGUAUUCAGCUAAGUCUUCAUCUUUUGUGCGGAUCAGGCCACAUUCAUAUAUCACUCGUAUUGGCUUUUGCUCGAGGGGCUUUUGUUGCACUUGCUGUGGCAUGGUGAGCGUAGCUGUCGUUGGUUCUGCACCACUGUCUGUGUCUCCUCCGAGCAGUGCUGUCACAGUUUAAAGCAACGCCAACACAUUCUCACAUUGAGGUAAAUUGAAACGAGUGUGCAUAACUUUGGUAAUUAACAUAACUAAACAGCCUCAUGAUGCGUUUUCUUUUAUGACAUGUGGUGUUUCGUGGCGGGCGGGGUUCAGCUCCAGCUCCUUCACACACACACACACACACACACACACACACACACACACACACACACACACACACACACACACACACACACACACACACACACACUGGUGCUCAGCAGAGGGGAGGAGAACGCACAGUGGAGAGUUGAAGACUUGACGGCAGCUGCACUUGUUGCAUUGCUGUACAUGAAAGCUUCACACAGCUGAUGCAAGUUUAGAAGAUAAGAUCAGGCUCAAUAUAGCUGAUGAUGAUUAGUUAAAAAUGCCUUGAUCAGCCCCAGUCCCAAUCGUUUAAAUCAGAUCGAGACAUAUGGAAAACCAAUUUAAAGCGUUGAAUUAUAAAUAUUUUUAGUGAUAUACAGGCACUUUUUCAUGUAAAUAGACUGUUUUAUAGUUUUAUUUUUUACACUUACCUGCUGUAUUUGUAUGUAUGAAUAGUAAAAUAGUAUUUAGAAUAAGGUUUUUUUUGUUUGUUUGUUUUUUACAACCCUGAACGAUCACUAAAGAUUUGUAUGUUUUGAUAGGUGGCUGUGUUUUAUGUAAUUUGGAUUCCUGGCAGCUUUUCACUUUGUUAACUUGACAAAACAAGGAGCCAGACUUACACCUGAUUUUGUGCUGAGAUGAGGAAACCUUUCCCAGAGAGGUGGAAUCUGUGUUGCUGAUCUGUGUUGUGUUGUGUUGUGUUGUGUUGCUGAUGCAAGAUAUUUUGCAGAGUUUGGUUACAGGUUCACUGAGUUCACUAAAUUCUCUCGGUGGUAGCAGACUUUACAUCAGAGCAGUAAGACCCUACAGGACCACUGACCGAGACAAAAUAUUAAAAGUCCUGUUGGUUUAAUUUCUUUACUACGCUUCCUUUUUUUAACUCUGUAGAAAAACAAUUAGUUCCACUUGACUCAAAUCUACCAUAGGAAUAAAAUUAGUUAUUAGAAAUUAGUUUCAUAUUCGUCUUUGAAUUAGUUCCCUUAAAGUUAUUUAUUUUAAAUCGGUGUCCAGCGUCUGACACUUGGGUGUCUUUAAGAUGUCAUUUUUAGUUAACCUCACUUAUCUACUGUAAAAUAAAACAAGUAGUAUUUUGACAGCUAAUUUAGAAAGUUUUACAUGAAUUACAAAUUUGUGUGCUCCUAGGUUUUCUCCUAUUGUUCCCUAAGAACAGAACCCAGCCUCUCUGACUGUUUAAAGGUCAUCAUUUGUGAGAAUUUUGAAAUUCAGGCAGGUAAGGUUUCAAAUUUAAUUUUACACAAAACUUGUACUCAUGAAAUGUCUGCAUGUUUUUUUUUGUGGCAUCGGCUAAUGAAUGAAUUUGUUCUUCCUCUCUGUACGUUGUAGAUAAUGAACCUGUGUCUUAACAAUCUAAAUAAAUUGAUAAACUGAA